Molecule: ribosomal RNA, 253 nt
Filed under: uncultured bacterium
Lineage: Bacteria
Description: partial 16S ribosomal RNA
Rfam family: Bacterial small subunit ribosomal RNA
Source: RNAcentral
UACGGAGGGGGCUAGCGUUGUUCGGAAUUACUGGGCGUAAAGCGCACGUAGGCGGCUUUGUAGGUUAGAGGUGAAAGCCCAGGGCUUAACCCUGGAAUUGCCUUUAAGACUGCAUCGCUAGAAUCGUGGAGAGGUGAGUGGAAUUCCGAGUGUAGAGGUGAAAUUCGUAGAUAUUCGGAAGAACACCAGUGGCGAAGGCGGCUCACUGGACUGGUAUUGACGCUGAGGUACGAAAGCGUGGGGAGCAAACAGG